UACGGAAGGUGCAAGCGUUGUUCGGAUUGACUGGGCGUAAAGCGCACGUAGGCGGGUUCAUAAGUCGGAUGUGAAAUCCCCGGGCUUAACCUGGGACCUGCACUCGAUACUGUGAAUCUUGAAUGCUCGAGAGGUUGGUGGAAUUCCAGGUGUAGGAGUGAAAUCCGUAGAUAUCUGGAGGAAGACCGGAGGCGAAGGCGGCCGACUGGCGAUGCAUUGACGCUGAGGUGCGAAAGCGUGGGGAGCAAACAGG
RNAcentral lists this ribosomal RNA (253 nucleotides) under uncultured bacterium. RNAcentral describes it as "partial 16S ribosomal RNA". It matches the Rfam family "Bacterial small subunit ribosomal RNA", at positions 524 to 776 of the family's 1533-position model. The record is from RNAcentral.